GCCAUCGGGGGCGAGGCGGCGGCGGUAAGCGGAGGAGUGGAAAGGGUGGUCGGAAUCAGGGGGCGGAAGGGGGACGUAGUCGGCUUGCAAAUGCGGACGUGAAAUCCCUCAGCUCAACGGAUGACGUGGAUCCGGAACGGGCGAGCUUGAGUGCUGAAGAGGUUCGCGGAAUUCCCGGUGUAGAGGUGAAAUUCGUAGAUAUCGGGAGGAACACCAGUGGCGAAGGCGGCGAUCUGGGCAGACACUGACGCUGAGGUGCGAAAGCGUGGGGAGCAAACAGGAUUAGAUACCCGAGUAGUC
Molecule: ribosomal RNA, 300 nt
Filed under: uncultured archaeon
Lineage: Archaea
Description: partial 16S ribosomal RNA
Rfam family: Bacterial small subunit ribosomal RNA (bases 52-300)
Source: RNAcentral